Molecule: long non-coding RNA, 538 nt
Filed under: Mytilus galloprovincialis (Mediterranean mussel)
Lineage: Eukaryota; Metazoa; Mollusca; Bivalvia; Mytilida; Mytilidae
Source: RNAcentral
GUUUUUACUAAUAAAACCACAGUUGUUCGAUGAUGCUCUUUCAUUAUAUUAUUUUAUGGAAAGAGUAUGAACAAAAUAUUUGCAAAACUGUAUAUAUUAUGAACUAAAGGUCUUAGGACAUUACAAUAGUGUGCAAAAAAAUCUUAAACGAAAAUAGUUGCUGAAGAUACGGAGGGGGCAUUAAACAAUUGCAUGUGUUUAGAAAAGCAGAAAAAAAAGAAAAAAUGAUGAGAAAUGAAACAACAACAGUAGGCCGAGAAACAACCAACUAAUCCAUAAAAACGGAAGAUCUCACGACCACGGAAGGGUUGGCAGAUUCCUGUCCUCUAGUGGCACCUGUUAUAUUCUGCUCAAGUAAAAAUUAUGUGAUAAAUCGCAUACGUUGAUGUCACUGUCAAAAGAAGGAUUGGUUAUUCUGUUUUAAUGAAACAAAGGUUGAAACCAAUGGUAACCAUACCUUGUCGUUCUGUUAAUGUUAAAAAAAGAAAGAUUGAAACCAAUGGUAUCCCCUCNNNNNNNNNNNNNNNNNNNNNNNNNA